GUGCGAAAGCAGGUCAUAGUGAUCCGGUGGUUCUGAAUGGAAGGGCCAUCGCUCAACGGAUAAAAGGUACUCCGGGGAUAACAGGCUGAUACCGCCCAAGAGUUCAUAUCGACGGCGGUGUUUGGCACCUCGAUGUCGGCUCAUCACAUCCUGGGGCUGAAGUAGGUCCCAAGGGUAUGGCUGUUCGCCAUUUAAAGUGGUACGCGAGCUGGGUUUAGAACGUCGUGAGACAGUUCGGUCCCUAUCUGCCGUGGGCGCUGGAGAACUGAGGGGGGCUGCUCCUAGUACGAGAGGACCGGAGUGGACGCAUCACUGGUGUUCGGGUUGUCAUGCCAAUGGCACUGCCCGGUAGCUAAAUGCGGAAGAGAUAAGUGCUGAAAGCAUCUAAGCACGAAACUUGCCCCGAGAUGAGUUCUCCCUGACCCUUUAAGGGUCCUGAAGGAACGUUGAAGACGACGACGUUGAUAGGCCGGGUGUGUAAGCGCAGCGAUGCGUUGAGCUAACCGGUACUAAUGAACCGUGAGGCUUAACCUU
RNAcentral lists this ribosomal RNA (534 nucleotides) under Escherichia coli. RNAcentral's name for it is "partial 23S ribosomal RNA". It matches the Rfam family "Bacterial large subunit ribosomal RNA", at positions 2397 to 2925 of the family's 2925-position model. The record is from RNAcentral. Lineage: Bacteria; Pseudomonadati; Pseudomonadota; Gammaproteobacteria; Enterobacterales; Enterobacteriaceae. RNAcentral also lists the same sequence under 1 other name.